CCUUCCGUAGGGUGAACCUGCGGAAGGAUCAUAGUAAUCGUCUUUGACGUUCGCUUUUUCCGUUGUCCUCGGGACGUUAAGGUGCUCUGGUCGAGGAUAAACGACCCCUCUGACCGAGGUGAAACCCGUCGCUCCGUGUUACCUCUCUUUGAGGCACACGUUAAAGAUCGUUCCGCGUUGUGAGUCUAACACCAGUUGUAUAAACUUUUUACAACCGGUAGCGCUGGAUCCCUUGGCACGUCAUUCGAUGAAGACCGUUGCAAAUUGCGAUAAAGUGAUGUGAUGCGCAAGUCCACCACUUAUACGUGAAUCAUCGAGUUGUUGAACGCAUUGCACCGCGCCCUAAUCCGGCUGCGGUAUGCCCCUUUGAGCGUCAUUGUAAUCCUUCGGGAGUCCUUUUCACAAGGACCCGAGUUCGGAGUCCUCGGUCCUCUUCUGGAUCGUGUUCUCUUAGAUGCGUCGUGCCGAUCGCCUGAUGGGUCCUCUAAUGCCUAAGCGUGGAGUUCCUUCAGAGUUCGAGAGGUGCUUGACCGGGUGUUGAGCUCGCGUCACCAAGUCUGCCUUCACCAGCAGUACUACAACGCAUGACCUCAUUGGGGUAGGACAACCCGCUAGACUUAAGCAUAUCAAUAAGCGGAGGAA
RNAcentral lists this ribosomal RNA (642 nucleotides) under Tulasnella calospora. RNAcentral's name for it is "eukaryotic LSU rRNA". The stretch from base 213 to 376 matches the Rfam family "5.8S ribosomal RNA". The record is from RNAcentral. Lineage: Eukaryota; Fungi; Basidiomycota; Agaricomycetes; Cantharellales; Tulasnellaceae.